AAGUCGUAACAAGGUUUCCGUAGGUGAACCUGCGGAAGGAUCAUUAAAAAUAUAGCAAACCGAGCGUCAGCGAGGUUUUGCGAUCAAAAUUGUAUUUAAAACCCAACUCUUUGAAUCAAAUAUAUUAUUAUUGUAUCAUAAAUUAAUUAAAAGAUCACUUUCAACAACGGAUCUCUUGGCUCUC
RNAcentral lists this unclassified non-coding RNA (184 nucleotides) under fungal sp. RNAcentral's name for it is "partial internal transcribed spacer region". The stretch from base 1 to 46 matches the Rfam family "Eukaryotic small subunit ribosomal RNA", at positions 1786 to 1831 of the family's 1831-position model. Lineage: Eukaryota; Fungi. The record is from RNAcentral. RNAcentral also lists the same sequence under 1 other name.